GUGGAGCCGGUUGUUUCCCUGAGAACAGCAAGAAGAAGGUGAAAAUCAUCUUUUGAAUUCAAGAGCCCAGGAGUGCCACGUGUGAAUUUAAUUUCACAGCAGAGCCUAGGGCACAGAGUUCCCCCGAUGCUUGAAGAGGAUCAGGACCUGCUUGGAGGACUCAGGAAUCCCACCCAAAACUGGAGCUGCUCCCCCAACAGCCACUCUGAAAUUGCCAUCAGCAGAAGCUGCAUUGUUUGAACAGGAGCUGAAUUUCGCUGGAAAGGGCUCAGAAGGAGCUGCUGCCUCCCCAGUUUCCUUCUGCAGUGAGAGUUGCCUGAGCUGAGGCUGCUUUGGCCUGCAUUAAUAUUUACAGACCUGGUUUAUGGAUCUGAAGAUUGAUUUAGCACGAGAGUAAUGCAGGGGAGCAGAUGAGCCAUGGGAAUGGUGAGCUCUGCUUUGCUGAGAUUCAUAAAUCCAAAAGCCACGCUGAGGUGAAGAGCUUUCAGAGGAGCAGCACCUAAUGCCUGAGAAUCAUUGGAUGUCUGAAGUCUUAAACAAGUUGGAAACUCAUCUUUCACAGGGAUAUGGAAAAUAAUCUUGCUGGGAGGAAGAGAGCUCAAGGGAGAAUAUAGAUGUCCUGUUAAUCAGGACAUAAAAAAGAAAGGAGAAGCUGUGAUGUGACAGUGACUGGUGGGAGAAAAUCUGGCAAACAGCAGAGAGAAGAUCGGGAGAUAUGACAAUUUGGGAAAUGUGCUUUUAAUGCAGCCGAGUCUCUGCUGGAGCUCUGAGCAGUGCUGAGGCAGUGGUGUCCCCUUGGAUGAAGAAGCAACAUCACCCAGGAAACACCAACAGGGAUCAAGAGUAGCUCGACCAUCUCCUCAACCAGAGAAAUCCCAUCUAGAGGUAAAGGGAAGUUCCUAGCUGGCUCCUUUCCACACUGACCACACACCCUGGUCCAGUGCUCAGCCAGCUGGAAACAAGAGGGUACAGAAAGAUCCUUUUUGACUUAUGUGCAACUUUCUUUGGGCAUCUUGGGCUCUCCAGCACUAAACACAAAUGAAAGUAAAACAUCUGCAAAAAAACCCCAACAUUCUCAAAAAAACUUUUAAGAGCACCCAGUGCAAACCCUGCUCAAAGAGGGCUGGACAGAGCCAUUGCUCAGGAUUGUGUCCAUUCAGGUUUGAGCAUCUCCCCAGAAUCAUCAGGGAGGUGUUAACACAACUGAACAGCUGCUACAGACAAAAAGCAAUUACGGUUUCAGCAGGACAUGGUUUGCUUAACAAGGCCUUCCCAUUUUUCCUGAUGACUGCUGGAACAGAGCAGGGAUUUAGGAGGAGCGGAAGAAACAGAAUUGGACUCUUUAAAUAAUUACAAACUUCUUUAUCCUGUGUAGUGCCUGCACAGUGUGGAACCUGAGCAGGUCCUCAGAAGAGAUUUAGGGAAAUGUUGAGUCUGGUGAUGAAUAACCAGUGAAAAAUCUUCCCCCGGAUACCCCAGCUGGAAUUCCAGCACGAGCUCACCCCAAGCUCUGCCUCGUUUGGUGUGGAGGAGCAGAUGUCCAACGCUGCUCCAAGAGCAGCACGUGGGGCAGCACUUGCUGUUGGAUUUGUGACUGUGUGGUUUCUGCUUGGGGAGCUGUGAGUUUGCAAACACAGCUCAGUUUCUCUGCCAGCUCACCCCUCGACCUUCUGCUGAGAGUGACAUUCUAGCGCCAGCUCUGGCGGCAGUUUGGGAUGUGGAUAUUUAUCCACUGCAGCUCUGGACCAAGCCCAUCAAUUCCCUGCGUGCAGAGGAUGAAAUGAGCCACUGGGCAGCUCUGACUUCCAGCCCUUGCUGGCUGGGGUCAGCAGGGAGCCGGCGCCCUUUCCGUGGAUGACACCAUGGCCUGUCACAGAGCUCUCAUUUAAAACACUCCUCUCAAAUAGAUGAAGAUACGCCCUAAUCACUAAUCAAAGAACAGCCUUAAUGCCUCAAAAACGUGGAGCAAGCUGCAGGCAUCAGAAUAAAUUACAACUGAAUUUGAGCAGUCAUUGAAUAAAAAGUUCAGGGGCCACGCCAGGGAGAGCCCUGGGAGUGGGUGAUCCAUCAUUAAUUCAGCCUGGGAGGUCACUCCUGCAAUGCUCCAAAUGCCCAUUAAACAUUUACAGCUUUUUAUUUUUACAGCUCUGUGCCACACUCAGGGUGAUGGGCACAUUUUACAGAGCUGUUUUGUUCAGUUCUGCAUGGCACAAGCUAAGGGUGUGAUUAACACACAAUUAUACACAAACCUGGAUCUGUGGGUGUGCAGAGAGCACUGGGGUGAUUUUUGUGUCUUCUCUCAUUCCAUUGCUUGCACUGCUCUUUCCCCUCCUGCUUUCACUGGGCCUUGCCAAGGGUCGACCCCAAGGCAAAAUGCCUGCAGGCUUUCCUGCCUGUGCCUUUCCUUCCUGAACUCUGACAUCCCAAAUAAUUCAGCAGGAACACCUCAGACCAGUUCCUUCCCUUCUCUCUCCUUACUCCCCUUCCUCUUCCUUGCAGCUUUAUUGCCUUUAUUAAGGCUAAACAUUAAUAAAACACCAUUUGAAUUCUUGAUUUUAAAAACCACACGAAAAAGCUUUUUUGGGGGACAAAGGCUUUGGGGGGAUGAUAGAAUAUAAGGAAAUGAAGAUAGUGCAGAAUGUAAUCUCAGCCCUGAAGAGUUGCAGCUGUAUUAAUUACCACAGAUUAGGAACAGGCCACAGCUGUGUCUAAUAAGGAUGAGAGCUAUAAAAAGAGUGAGUUAGGGGGUGAGGAGAGGGUUGGGGUUUGUUUGCUGUGAGGAAGGAGUUGGUGCUGCAAGGAGCUGCUCAUGAAGCCUCACUGAGAAGGUAUGGGACUUUUGCAAUGAGAUAACAACCUGAAUUCGCUGUUAGUUUUGGUUUUGAGGUUGGUCCUGUGUGGUUUUGAGCAGAUAAAUGCAGCUGAUGCUCAGCAUGGUGCAGCACAGCACUUUGCACAAUCCCACGCACCAGGGCUCACCUGCAGGGAGGCAAAGCCUUGGUGCUUGCUGGCAUUCCAGGUAAUCAGGGAAAGAAAACACCAGAGAGCCCAAAAUUACCUCUUUUUGUCAGUGCUCGCCUUGCAAAGCUGAACCUUUCUCUUAAAACACCAACAGUUUUCAUGAGUUUGUUGUGGCAAAGAGUUCUUGGAGACUGUCCUUCUCUAAAAAUAGAAACUCUUAUUUAUAAGAAUUAAACUAUCAUGCAUUAAAGAAAAUUAUUGCACCAAACAUAACUUUUUCUUGAAGAUAAAAAUAAAAUGCUUUACAGUUACACGUUCAAACAGUUGAUUUAUUCAUGCAUAUAAAUCUUCCCAAGGAUGUGUGUGUUUUCAGUAUCUUUUUUAUGCCUUAAUUUGCCGCUUAUUCCAGAGUGCCUUUGUUAGAAAAAUCCACGUAAUGUCUUAAAAAUAACAAUUUGUGGUACUCAAAUAGUAAAAAAAAUGAAAUUAAAGGUUUGUGAUGCAUCUUUCCACCUGUUUUUACACUGAACAAACCUUAGGAGCAGUGAGAAGAAAAUGUCACUUCAUGUCUAGUAAGUGCACACCUGAUGAGGGAAUUGGCUGCUCAGGCUCAUAAAAUGGCUUGGACUUAAUAAAGCUGGAUUGGCUCUCAGCUGCUUCCUGAAGGAACAAAGUUUGGUGUGUGAGGCUGUUA
Long non-coding RNA from Melospiza melodia melodia, 3655 nucleotides. RefSeq lists it as uncharacterized. The record is from RefSeq and is a predicted model, not a curated record. Lineage: Eukaryota; Metazoa; Chordata; Aves; Passeriformes; Passerellidae. The transcript is spliced from 6 exons.